CCUACUGGAGGCUGCAGUGGGGAAUAUUGGACAAUGGGGGCAACCCGGAUCCAGCCAUGCCGCGUGUGUGAAGAAGGCCCUCGGGUUGUAAAGCACUUUCAGUGAGGAAGAACGCCUGGUGGUUAAUACCCAUCAGGAAAGACAUCACUCACAGAAGAAGCACCGGCUAACUCCGUGCCAGCAGCCGCGGUAAUACGGAGGGUGCGAGCGUUAAUCGGAAUUACUGGGCGUAAAGCGCGCGUAGGUGGCUUGAUAAGCCGGUUGUGAAAGCCCCGGGCUCAACCUGGGAACGGCAUCCGGAACUGUCAAGCUAGAGUGCAGGAGAGGAAGGUAGAAUUCCCGGUGUAGCGGUGAAAUGCGUAGAGAUCGGGAGGAAUACCAGUGGCGAAGGCGGCCUUCUGGACUGACACUGACACUGAGGUGCGAAAGCGUGGGUAGCAAACAGGAUUAGAUACCCAGGUAGUC
RNAcentral lists this ribosomal RNA (465 nucleotides) under Vreelandella stevensii. Its description in RNAcentral is "partial 16S ribosomal RNA". It matches the Rfam family "Bacterial small subunit ribosomal RNA", at positions 338 to 795 of the family's 1533-position model. Lineage: Bacteria; Pseudomonadati; Pseudomonadota; Gammaproteobacteria; Oceanospirillales; Halomonadaceae. The record is from RNAcentral.